AAGUCUAUCUUCUUAACUAGAAUACUUGUUCUUGUCCCAGGGGUAUAGUGAAUAUGCUGCAUGGUCAAAUUGGUUUGUAUAAGUGGAAACUGACAAUAUGUGAGAAGGCCAUGCUGCAGACGUGAUGUUUGGUGGCAACUGAGCUUCUAAAUAAGAGCUAAGCAAGUGUCCCUGAUUCUUCUGCCUUCAUUUGGAAACAUAUCAUCAGAAACGUCAAACUGGAGGAAAUGUCACAAUUUUGAUGUUACUUCCUCCAGGAAACCUUCUUGAUCCCCCAAGACUGGAUCAGGUGUCUCUGAGUGCUCUCAUCCUCUCUCUCCAUGUGGAGACCUUCACCCUCACAAGAUGAGGCCCCUUGAUUUUGGACUUCAGUCUCCAGAACUGUACUUGGUUUGGGGCACAGAUGAAGAUGGAGAUGAGGAGAAUCUGAGUUGGGACAUUCUGAAAGUGAUACAGAGGGAGACAUAUUCUAGGUAUACGAAGUUCUAGUUUAUUCAAUGGGAGCAGCAACCUCUUACUCAUUCACUUCUUAAAAAUCUUCAACUCAGUACUGGGAGAUCUUUUUUUUUUAAAAAAGUCAAUAUAUUAUCAAUUUAAUUAUGUAAAUUUAAAAUACUUAUUUUUAAAAGCUUACACAGCCAUUUUUGUAGAUAUUAUCUGGUUUCAUAAAAUCAGAGAUUUUCAGACAGUACUUUAAUCAGCAACUUUCUUUUCUUAAGUUUGAUACAAUUAGUUCUUCAGCAAGAGGUCAUGGUCAUUUCUGGCAUUUUCUUGGUUAUAGCAUUCUUUUAGAAUCUGGGUCUCUGGACAAUAAGAAUCUGUGCAACCAGGGAGGGAAAAUUCGCUUGUGUUAGAUUUCCAUAUUUCCCAGGGAAGUUCAUGUCUUCUCUUUGUGAAACUUCUCCCUGUGGUUUAUAGUUUGUGCCUUUCUCCUUUAGGACUCAAGUGUCUGUUUCCUUCAAAGUUUACUGCUUUUCUGAAAAGAAAAGCUAGUACAACUGUUUUUAUGUGGAUGUGUCCAUACUAGACAAAAAGAUUUUAACUUCAUUCAUAUCAAAACCUACAAUAUUUGUAGAUCUUUUUCAUUAGAAGGCUGAUGGCUCAUUUGAACAUCUGUUUCUUUGUUUUCCUUUAGGGAUUUCCAACUAUUCGCUAACCUCUGAGUGAGUGUGACAAAAAUGACUCUGCUGCUCUGUGUUAAUAUAAUGUAGAAUGAAAUGUAUAAUCAGAUGCUCCUUUCUAAUAGACAUCUCAAUCUCAGUGUAUCCAAAGCUGAACUCCUGGUAUCUAAACCCCAGGCCACAUGCCCCACGACCCUCCCCUCCGGGAGCAACCUGCUAUUUUCUCCAACUUUUCAAUACCAGUUGAUGACAGCACCAUCUUUCCAGCAAUCCCCAUACCACGUUGGCCCACACCAUCCUGGUCUACCUUCUCUGUCUUACCCUAUUUGACUUUUUCAUUUCCCCACAGCACUUAUCAUCUCUUAACACACUAUAGGAUUUACUCAUUCGUAAUGCGUAUUGUCUAUUGUCUGUGUCCUGAAUUAGAAUUUAAGAUUUCUCAAAGGCACAAGGGCAAGGAUCUUUGACCCAAAGGCCUAAAAUAGUGCCUCCUUGGAGGGCACGCAAUAAAUAUUUGUAAAUAAAGGAUGAAAUAAGCAAUGAAAAUAUUCCAUAAGAGAUUCUUGAGUUGGCUAUUUUUAGUGUUUAGAAGUAGCUAGAAUAUUCAAUAUCAAAUAAUCCCUUGCUGACUAUCAAAGUUAGAAUUAUCCCAGAUUUGCUAUGAUUUGGCUGCAAAAAUAAGAGUGAGCUGAGUUAGGUUGGUUUCUAGGGACAUCCAGGAAGUAAAACAAAGUGUAAGGACUAGAAGAAUGCUUUCUAAUUUACUGAUAGUUAAUUUUUGAUAGAUCUUUUAUAUGGAACACUUUGAGAACUGGUGCAUGUAGAAAAAGACAUUCGCUAUGGUCUUGAGAAAAAUCCAGUUGAUACGUUGCUGCCAUUCUUCUAAUUCAGUGUGGUCACCUUAUUCAAAGAGCUCUGCUCUGAUCCUGACAAUACUCAAUACAUUUGGAUGAUUAAAUUUUUUUCUGCUUAAACUCUCUCAUCUCAGCUGUAAAAAUUAGAAGUAGGUAGUUUUGUUUUAUUUCUGGCCCCAAGCAAGAAAAUAAAUUUGUUUUCAUUAAAAUUUUUCUUAGAACAUGGGUGAAAAAGUAAUGAGAAGAAAUAAUUCAUAUUUCAUUUUCUUUUCAAACAAUUAAGAUAGAAGCCUAUUAUUGUUUGUAAGAUAAAUUGUAUAGAUAAUUUGUGGGAUACCAAAGUUGAAUUUUAUAGCGAAAAGAAUUAUCAUUUUAGUUUUUCCAGGAAGACUGGCUUUUACUUAAUGUGUUUGAUUAAAGAGUCUGAAUAUCAGAUACAUUGUUUUGAGUGAUAUCAAUUCAUUUUCUAUACUUUAGUUUGUAGGACCAGUAUUUCAAUUUAUAUGAUGAGCUGCUACAAAUUGACAUAAUAGAAAUGGUUACAGUUUUAGAACCAAUGGGACAGGAAUAAAAUGAUUAAACACUUAUAAUCUGUCAUUCUAUAAUCUGAUGUAAACUAUCUGAAGAUUCAUACAACUUCAGAAUUGGAAGGAACUUGAAGAUCUAUUUCGAAAAACUCAUUUUAUAUUUGUUGGAGCUUUGACUAAGACACAUUCCGUGACUUGUCCAAAGUUUCCCAUCACACAGCUAGUGGCAGGACCAGAGCUAGACCCAGGCAUGAUGACCAAUGGGGCAGAACUUUU
Molecule: non-coding RNA, 2778 nt
Organism: Macaca mulatta (Rhesus monkey)
Lineage: Eukaryota; Metazoa; Chordata; Mammalia; Primates; Cercopithecidae
Source: RefSeq, a predicted model, not a curated record